AUUACGGGUAGCUUAAAAAUAAGCAUAGAUCCGUAGAUUCCCGAAUAUGUAAACUUUUAAAACUAUAUGCAAAAUUAAUAGGCAUAAAAGAGAUAACUUAGCGAACUGAAACAUCUUAGUAGCUGAAGGAAAAGAAAGCAAUAAGCGAUUUCCUAAGUAGUGGUGAGCGAAAUGGAAGUAGCCUAAACCGUAUAAGGGGUUGUGGGGGAGCAACUAAAAAAGUAAUCAUGUUUUUAUUAAAUAUUUAAGCGAAGCAGCGGAGUACUGUACCAUAGAUGGUGAGAGUCCAGUAGAAGAAUGCACAUUAGCUUAUGCUCUAACCCGAGUAGCAUGGUAUACGUUAAAAUACUGUGUGAAUCCGCAAGGACCACCUUGCAAGGCUGAAUACUCUUUGGGUUGACCAAUAGCAAAGUGAGUACCGUGAGGGAAAGGUGAAAAGAUCCCAUUGUGGGAGUGAAAUAGAGCAUGAAAUUGUAAGCUUUCAAACAGUGGGAGGAAUAUUAUUAUAUCUGACCGUGUGCCUUUUGAAGAAUGAGCCGACGACUCAUAUGCAGUGGCUUGGUUAAGGUAACAUAACCGUAUCCGUAGCAAAAGCGAGUUUUAAUAAAGAAGCAAACAAUUGUCAUUGUUUAUGUACCCGAACUUGGGUGAUCUAUCCAUGACCAGGAUGAAUCUAAGUUUAAAACUAAGUUGAGGUCCGAACCAACUGAUGUUGAAUAAUCAGUGGAUGAGUUGUGGUUAGGGGUGAAAUGCCAUUCGAACCCAAAGCUAGCUGGUUCUCCCCGAAAUGCGUUGAAGCGCAGCAGUUGAUCAUAUAUAUUAGGGGUAAAGCACUGUUUUGAUCUGGUACACAUCAGUUGGUUCCACAUCUAGGCAAACUCUGAAUACUAUAUACUAUAAUAUUCAUUAUAAUUAUUAGGAUCAACUAGUGAGACAGUGAGGGAUAAGCUUAAUUGUCAAAAGGGAAACAGCCCAGAUCACCAGAUAAGGCCCCUAAAUGAUCGCUAAGUGAUAAAGGAAGUGGGUAAAGUGCAUAGACAACCAGUAAGUUUGCCUAGAAGCAGCAACCUUUGAAAGAGUGCGUAAUAGCUCACCGAUCAAGCGCUCCUGCGCCGAAGAUGAAUAGGGACUAAGCGAUCUGCCGAAGCUGUGAGAUUAUUUUAACUUUAUGAUUUUAAAAUUAUUAAAAUCAUAAAGUUAAAAGUUAUCGGUAGGGGGGCGUUCCGCCUUAGAGAGAAAUAUCUUGCUUAAGCAGGUGUAGACGAAGCGGAAGCGAUAAUGUCGGCUUGAGUAACGAAAACAUUGGUGAGAAUCCAAUGCCCCGAAAACCUAAGGAUUCCUUUUCCACAAGGUUCGUCCGGGGAGGGUUAGUCAGGAACUAAGAUCAUGUCAAAAGGCGUAAUUGAUGGUUAACAGGUAAAGAUAUUCCUGUAUUAUAUUAUAUUUUUUCUUGAGGGACGGAGUAGGCUAGGUUAGCCAAAUAUUAUGGUUAUUGGUUCAAAGGGUAAGGCUAAACCAAUUAGGUAUUUGGUCAUAAGGGGUAGAGUAAAUAUCUCGAGCUAAUACCUUAAUAAUAAGUUCUUUAUUAUUCUUUUAAUUUUAAAGGCUUAAGUAAUCCACGUCAUACUCCCAGGAAAAGCUCUAACGAUCUUAAACAAUAAAUAAACCUGUACCCAAAACUAACACAGGUAGGUAGGUUGAGAAUACCUAGGGGCGCGAGAAAACUCUCUCUAAGGAACUAAGCAAAAUAGCCCUGUAACUUCGGGAUAAGGGGUGCCUCUUUUAUUGAAAUUGAAGAGGUCGCAGCUAUCAGGCCCGGGCGACUGUUUAACAAAAACACAGGUCUCCGCAAAGUCGUAAGACCAUGUAUGGGGGCUGACGCCUGCCCAGUGCCGGAAGGUUAAAGAAGUUAGUGAUCUUGAUUACAGAGUAGCUGGCAACCUAAGCCCCGGUGAACGGCGGCCGUAACUAUAACGGUCCUAAGGUAGCGAAAUUCCUUGUCGGGUAAGUUCCGACCCGCACGAAUGGCGUAACGAUCUGGGCGCUGUCUCGGAGAGAGACUCGGUGAAAUAGACCUGUCUGUGAAGAUGCGGACUACCCAUACCUGGACAGAAAGACCCUAUGAAGCUUUACUGUUCCCUAGGAUUGGUUUUGAGCUCUUCUUGUGCAGAUUAGGUGGAAGGUGCCAAAAUUUGAUUCUUACUAUAAGAAUCAAGGAUAGAGCCAUUAUUGAGAUACCACUCUAGAAGAGCUAUAUUUCUAACCUUGUGUCAUAAACUAGGGCUAAGGGACAGUCUCAGGUAGACAGUUUAUAUGGGGCGUAGGCCUCCCAAAAAGUAACGGAGGCGCGCAAAGGUUUCUUUGAAUCAGACGGAAAUUGAUUUUAUACGUGUAAAGGCAUAAAGAAGCUUGACUGCAAGACCCAAAACUUGUUAAGCAGGAACGAAAGUUGGCCUUAGUGAUCCGACGGUUCCGAGUGGUAGGGCCGUCGCUCAACGGAUAAAAGUUACUCUAGGGAUAACAGGCUGAUCUUCCCCAAGAGUUCACAUCGACGGGAAGGUUUGGCACCUCGAUGUCGGCUCGUCGCCACCUGGGGCUGUAGUAGGUUCCAAGGGUUGGGUUGUUCGCCCAUUAAAGCGGUACGUGAGCUGGGUUCAGAACGUCGUGAGACAGUUCGGUCCAUAUCCGGUAUGGGCGUAAGAGCAUUGAGAGGACUUUUCCCUAGUACGAGAGGACCGGGAAGGAUGCACCUCUGAUGUACCAGUUAUUGUGCCAUCGGUAAACGCUGGGUAGUCAAGUGCGGAGUGGAUAACUGCUGAAAGCAUAUAAGUAGGAAGCCCACCAUAGGAUGAUUGCUCUCUU
This 2862-nucleotide ribosomal RNA is filed under the name Gastrodia flexistyla. RNAcentral's name for it is "23S ribosomal RNA". It matches the Rfam family "Bacterial large subunit ribosomal RNA". Lineage: Eukaryota; Viridiplantae; Streptophyta; Magnoliopsida; Asparagales; Orchidaceae. The record is from RNAcentral.